CCUUCGAUAGCUCAGUUGGUAGAGCGGAGGACUGUAGGUUGAUAAUUGCAGGGUAUCCUUAGGUCGCUGGUUCAAUUCUGGCUCAAAGGA
This 90-nucleotide transfer RNA is filed under the name Perca flavescens (yellow perch). It matches the Rfam family "tRNA". From Rfam's summary of the family: Transfer RNA (tRNA) molecules are approximately 80 nucleotides in length. Lineage: Eukaryota; Metazoa; Chordata; Actinopteri; Perciformes; Percidae. The record is from Rfam by way of RNAcentral.